Molecule: non-coding RNA, 73 nt
Organism: Pangasianodon gigas (Mekong giant catfish)
Lineage: Eukaryota; Metazoa; Chordata; Actinopteri; Siluriformes; Pangasiidae
Source: the annotation of a GenBank genome assembly
GCAGUCGUGGCCUAAUGGAUAGAGAGUCGGACUUGCAACCCAAAGGUUGUGGGUUCGAGUCUCAGGUCCGGCA